RNAcentral lists this ribosomal RNA (1276 nucleotides) under Kudoa pagrusi. RNAcentral describes it as "SSU rRNA". It matches the Rfam family "Eukaryotic small subunit ribosomal RNA", at positions 310 to 1631 of the family's 1831-position model. The record is from RNAcentral. Lineage: Eukaryota; Metazoa; Cnidaria; Myxozoa; Multivalvulida; Kudoidae.
CCCUAUCAACUAGUUGGUGAGAUAUUGGCUCACCAAGGUGGUAACGGGUAACGGGGGAUCAGGGUUCGAUUCCGGAGAGGGAGCCUGAGAAACGGCUACCACAUCUAAGGAAGGCAGCAGGCGCGCAAAUUACCCAAUCCAGACUUUGGGAGGUAGUGACGAGAAAUACCGGAGUAGACCAUUAAUGGUUCACUAUCGGAAUGAAUGCAAUCUAUAACUUUCAAUGAGUAGCUACUGGAGGGCAAGUCUGGUGCCAGCAGCCGCGGUAAUUCCAGCUCCAGUAGUGUAUAUCAAAAUUGUUGCGGUUAAAGCGCUCGUAGUUGGAUUACAAAAGCUCUUUGAUAACUGAAUGAUAAUGUAUUUAGUUGUUGAGGGGUUUUUUUCUCGCGAGAUCCAUAUGUGAGAUUGAAUUCUUGUAUAUGGUCACUUGCGAAAUGUGCCUUGAAUAAAGCACAGUGCUCAAAGCAGGCGUAUGCUUGAAUGUAAUAGCAUGGAACGAUUAUGUUGACCAAAUCAACUGUUGGUUGUUGAGUAAACCAAUAUGGUCUAGAUUAAAAGGAACAUUUGAGGGCGUUAGUACUUGAUGGCGAGGGGUGAAAUUCUUAGACCCAUCAAAGACUAACUAAUGCGAAAGCAUUCGCCAAGAGUGUUUUCAUUAAUCAAGAACGAAAGUUAGAGGUUCGAAGACGAUCAGAUACCGUCCUAGUUCUAUACAGUAAACGAUGCCAACAUGGGAUUAGUCCGGAAUUAUCCAGGUUGGGCCCUCAGAGAAAUCCAGUGUUUUGGUCGUGGGGAGAGUGCGCGCGCAAGCGUAAAAUUUGAACGAAAUUGACGGAAUGGCACCACCAGGAGUGGAGCCUGCGGCUUAAUUUGACUCAACACGGGGAAACUCACCAGGUCCAGACAUUGACAGGAUUGACAGACUGAGAGAUCUUUCAUGAUACAAUGAUUGGUGGUGCAUGGCCGUUCUUAGUUGGUGGAGUGAUCUGUCAGGUUAAUUCCGGUAACGAGCGAGACCACGAUCUUUAAUUGAUUACGGGCAUUAUAUGGUCAUGUUCAAUCUUAAAGAGACAACCGGAAUUAAGCCGGGGGAAGCGUGGCAAUAACAGGUCUGUGUUGCCCUUCGAUGUUCUGGGCUGCACGUGCGCUACAAUGGCAGUGACAACAAGUGCCUGCUCUGAGAUGGGUGGGGAAUCUUGAAAAUCACUGUCGUACUUUGGAUUGAGCCUUGUAAUAAUUGCUCAUGAAAGAGGAAUUCCUCGUAAGCGCGAGUCAU